ACUAAUUCAUUGGGCAUCUUUAAUUUAUUCCUCGCUAUAAAAAAUAUGAGCAAGAGCGACAUUUGCCUAGUCAUAUUUUACUCAAGUCGUGAUACAAUCCAUACAUAUUCAUUUGAUGUAUGAAGAAAGCUAGCAUCGCUAUGGUAGUUUUAACCACAAAAGAAAUUGUCACAAGUUUUGUCUUUUUGGAGAAGUCAAAUCCUCAUCGAGAAAAUGGACAAACUAACAUAAAAAUAAUAGUGUUUGACCGAAAAAAAUAUAUACGAAUAAUAGUGGCUCUUAACUACUAAUAUCGAUUUCUUAUUACAUAAAGAUCAUUCAUGGUUAGGGAUUGGGCCCGACUGAUUCAUGGAUGUCAUCAAUAGUGAUAAGCCCGUAACUCAAUCUAGUAGUAAGAAAGGGAGUGGGGAUACUUUAUCCUCCACCGAUGUUUUUGUUAUUUGUUUAAAAAAAAUUCCUGAUAGUUCUCCUAAAAGAAAGGAGGUUAAUUAAGUGAGAUAUAUAUCAAUAUCAUAGAUGAUACAAAGUGGUGCAGCACGCAAAUAGAGCACAAUAUGCGCAAAUUCUAGUACACAACAUGAUCAAAGUUUUGUUCGAACAUAAACGAGAGAAGAAGAGGAAGCGAUCCGUAUACACCUUUUUUUGGAGAAAAGUAACACUUUAUAGAAUAAUAAUCAACAACUAAUUACAACCAUGAGAGAUUUCGAUUGUGGACAACCAAGUCCUCACACUCCUCCCUACCCACAUACCUGCAAUUAUAAUGACAAUGAACCGAAAAAUGUUCCAAAUGUAAUCUACUCCUAACCCCAUUCAGAAUCCUUGAUAUCUCCUUACAACCAACCUCAAGAAGAAACAACCCCCGUUAAGCACUACAUACCAAAACCGUCAGCAUAUAUGCAGGGGCAACCUUCCCAUUACAUUGACAACAAGAAAACACCUAUCUUAAAACCCAUAGUCCUUGUACACGACACCAAACAUGACUCUACCAAUACCACCAACGACUAACACCCUAACAUCCUCGCCUAUAAGGGAGGGACGACAGACAAUCGACAUUAAACCAAAAAAACAAAAACUAAAAAACCCUAAACCUAGGCCCAACAGGGCCCAAGCCCAAACCAACCCCACCUGGACCUUCAAAGAUCAGGCCCCUAUUGACCAGGCCCAAAGAGAGUUGAACAUGGAUGCAGACGCCGCCGUAGCGUCGUCGAUGCCAGCCGCCGUCGGAAGACCGUUAUCGUCCGCGCAACCGUGGAGAGGCAUCCUACCACCAUCCUCCAUCCUCUAAGAUCCACGUAAAAUCAAGGCAGGAAGGCCAAGACCUUCGCCUCCGCGAUCUCCCUAUCGUGCCGCUCAACCGCCCCAUCCAUCCCCUCCACAGACACGUCGCGAAACGCCGUUCCCGAACGAUGACGAAGCCUCCCCGACAGAGCGUCAUAGCGCUGCAAAUGCAGGCCACCAACUUCUCGGUCUGCCUUUAUAGAAGCCAUCUCCUUUUCAGUCCAUCCAACCACCCGUCCGGCAGCAAACCCAACCCGUCCCAACGAGGCUAGGAGCCAACGCCGGUGUGGAGAUGCCGCCAGACAAGCAACGACUUCACAACCUCGAACUUUGCCCUUCAUGUAUACACCUUAAACUAUAUUAAUUGUUGAUACCGCUUUUAAGCCUAAGAUUUAAUCUCUCGGUAUAUGUAAAAUGCUCUAAUUAUGUAUUACAAUACAGUAUAACAUGAUAAGCCCUCAUUAACUUUUUUUUUUUUUCAAGGAGCCCUUAAAACCGAAAAUACCAUUAUCAUAUGUCUAUAUAAUUAGGUAAUAAUAAAGGUGCCAAUAAGCCGUUAGGAUUAUGUAAUGUAGAUCAGAACAAGGAAAUUGAGGUGGAUGGUUGUUGAUAUAUCAAGAAAAAUGCUGUUUGCUUUGGUCUCACCUACUACCAUUGCUGUCGUGUAUGGUUUUGUCAUAAUGAGCAGAGCGUCCACGACAUACAAGAAAUCAUGUAUAGUUAAAAAUAAUUAAUUCAUUACAUCUUAAUUACAGUACUAGCUAGCUGAUUUAGUAUGUAGUCUUUGGUUUGGGGUGAAGCUUCUAGCUAAUUAGCUAUAGUCGAACGAGUCAAAUCAUGCUUUCUGGAAAGCAACAUGCAAACCAGUAAUGAUGAAUUGAUGAUCAGAUAGUAUUUGACCACUUAAAUUAUAUAUGCUGAAGCUGCUGAACCAUUUUUUUAAUUUUUUUUUAUCCAAAGACAUUAACUUUUAUUAAUUACAACUUAAAAAUGAGCACAACAACAUGAACAUGAUCCUCUUACGGGGGUUAUCAUGUGAAAGUAUCUAGUAGACACUAAACAGCCUAUAUGCUGAAGACCAUAAGAUGAAGCACUAUGAUCAAUAUUCCGUAGUAGCAAACAGGACAAGUACCUAGCCAUCGAGACACAAGAAGGAAAAGACAAGCCUCAACAACCCUAGUCUAAAAACGAAAAAAUAAAAUAAAAUAAAAAAGGGUGUAGGCCCAAGACCCAAGCCCAGGACAGACCCAAAAUGGGCACAACCCUAAGCCCAAGUCUCAGACCAACAAAGAAGGAGAACCAAUAUCCAGCUCGACCCAGCCUAAACCAUCAUCAGCCAAACAGCCCACAACCUGCCCCUCACCUCAUCUGUCUGCCACCGAACCCCCGCCGCCGUCGUGACCUCGCCAGCCUUCACCACCACCACCCCACUAAGCCAUACCACCACCCAAACAGCCCAACCAUUGUGUACAACAACCCAAAUUAAAUCCAUGCCACAACAGUGGAUCGAAAAGCUAGCCUAUCAUACUCCUUGAAAUCCUCCAGCAUGGACCUAAUUAGUCUCAUGAUUCUCUUCAACUGAAAAGUCUGAGGGACGACACUACAAGAAAUCCAGUAUGUAAUACUCCGACAAUAUAAAAGUCGAUGAAUAUUAAGAUAUAGGCGUAAAUCCUGGACUAUUGGUGUCACACCCCAAUUUUCGAAGGAUAAAUUUUCAAAAAUUUGGGCAUGAUAUAACUUAAAAUCUUAUUAUCCCAAAACCUGCUCAACAACUUCCAAACUAUAAACAAAUACUAGAAAUAUAAAUGUCAACAAACUCAACAACUGAGUUAAACAUUAUAUCUCCUUAAAUACAUCAACUUCAAAAGUCUAGUAAUGAUAACAUCGCUCACAUGAGCUUAAAGACAACUUAUCAAAAUAUACAAAAUAAAUGCACAUUGUUUAAAACCCAGCUCCUAAGCCACCGCCUCAACCCUGCUGAUUAUCACCUGCAGGUCUAACCCCUACACCAAAAAAUAGGUGCACCGGGUUGUAAACAAUAAACCCGGUAAGCUGAAAAGCCCGUAUGAGUAACUCUAAAAAAAAAUAUUUCAACCCAACAUCACACAAAAUAAAACCGGAAAUUCCUGCUUAGCACUUAAUUCAGGAAUUGCCUCAACAAUAAAAUUCAAAGAGAGAAAUUGAGAAAACAUAACAAUUCACAAAACAAUCAAUCAUAAGAGAAUCCUGCAAAUAAAGAUAGUUCAGGAAAUUUCACUCAAAAUUCACACAAUAAGAAUUGAAGAAUCUCCUGCAUUAAGCAUAGUUCAGGAGAUACUCAAAACAAGUUAAAUGACAACAAUUAAGAACAAAGUUAAAACCACAUUUUCAACACUUUCACAAAUAACAUAUACCCAUGAGUCCCAGAUAUUAAAAAAUACCUCUCAUGACCUACAACAACAAUUUGUGCACCCACGGGUCCUAGAUACCAUAAGGUAUCUUUCAUGACCUACACCAACAGACGGACUAGAGCUCUAUUCCUAACCGUAACUAAUCACCCGGCCAAAGGCUUGGAACCCAAUUUGACUGUUCAAUAUCACAUCACAAAAUAAUAAUAGCGUCAUAACCAUAACCAAUCACCCGACUAAAGGCUUGGAACCCAGUUUGACUAUCUACACAACAAUUCUCAAAAAGAGUAGAAUCAUCAUAACCGCAACCAAUCACCCGAUUAAGGGCUUGGAACCCAGUUUAACUAUCUACUUGUUUUAUCUCACCUAUGAGCCGUUGGCGAUCAAGCUCAUUUAUUUUUAAAAACAAACAAUAGCAUAUUCUUUAAUUCAACAUUAUUAACAACACAAAAAGUACAUCAUAAAAAUUAUAUCAUUCCACAUAGAUAUAUUUAUAUGCACAAGACAUGGUUAUUCCCACAAGAAUAACUUAUCAACAACCAAAAAUACUAUAAUUUUAUGAACCAUAAAAAUAAUCAUAUACUUGGAAAACUUGUUUUAUCUUAUCUAUGAGCCGUUGGCGAUCAAGCUCAUUUAUUUGAAAACAACCAAAAAGAAAUAAAAUAAUUUUAAAUUAAAAACAUCAACAAAAUCAUCAUCAUUUUAUCAACAAAAACCUUAUCAUCAUCACUAUCAACAUCAUAAUAAUCAUUAUCAACAACACAAUAAUUAUCACCAUCAUCAUCCUCAUCAUUCAC
RNAcentral lists this long non-coding RNA (4462 nucleotides) under Fragaria vesca (wild strawberry). RNAcentral's name for it is "long non-coding RNA (FVES_LNC001254)". The record is from RNAcentral. Lineage: Eukaryota; Viridiplantae; Streptophyta; Magnoliopsida; Rosales; Rosaceae.